UACGAAGGGGGCUAGCGUUGCUCGGAAUUACUGGGCGUAAAGGGCGCGUAGGCGGGUGUUUAAGUCAGAGGUUAAAUCCCAGGGCUCAACCCUGGAACUGCCUUUGAUACUGGGCACCUAGAGUUCGGGAGAGGUGUGUGGAACUCCGAGUGUAGAGGUGAAAUUCGUAGAUAUUCGGAAGAACACCAGUGGCGAAGGCGACACACUGGCCCGAUACUGACGCUGAGGCGCGAAAGCGUGGGGAGCAAACAGGAUUAGAUACCCUGGUAGUCCACGCCGUAAACGAUGAGUGCUAGUUGUCGGCAUGCAUGCAUGUCGGUGACGCAGCUAACGCAUUAAGCACUCCGCCUGGGGAGUACGGUCGCAAGAUUAAA
This 374-nucleotide ribosomal RNA is filed under the name uncultured bacterium. RNAcentral describes it as "bacterial SSU rRNA". It matches the Rfam family "Bacterial small subunit ribosomal RNA", at positions 524 to 898 of the family's 1533-position model. The record is from RNAcentral.